AUUUUGAAAAAUAAAAAAAUUAAAAUUUUCAAAUGAUAAACUUAGAAAUGUGCUAUUUUGGUCAUUUUAGUUUUGGAGUGCUAUUUUGUGAUAUAAACUUAGAAAUGUGCUAUUUUGGAGAUUUGCCCUUUCCAUUUUCUCAAAUAAUUUCUCUAAGUCAUGUUGUUAUCAAGCAAUGUCACAAAAGUUCCCUAAAAGAUCAAUAUUUCCAGUUUGUGUUGGAUUAGAGUUGGCUUCACGACUCUCGAACUGAUUAUCAUGAGCCCUAAAUGUACAAAUGCGUCAUAGAUUCGACUACAAAGAUGAGAUGUAAAAUAGUCAUAAGACUCGUAACGUCAUUAAUAUCUGCCUAAUAAACCAAACAAACCCGACUCAGAUGAACCCAAACCGAUCCAAAC
Molecule: long non-coding RNA, 398 nt
Filed under: Brassica napus (rape)
Lineage: Eukaryota; Viridiplantae; Streptophyta; Magnoliopsida; Brassicales; Brassicaceae
Description: long non-coding RNA (BNAP_LNC025945)
Source: RNAcentral